AAGUCAAGAUCGGACUUUGGGCCGGUCUGCGACGAACUUGGGCUGAGCCCAUAUAUCACGAGCCCACUCGCAUGGCAGGCCCAAAUUCUCUCUUCCUUCCCUCUCCCUCUUCGCGGGGGUCUUAGCUCGCUUCUCCAGCGCCCCAUUCUCUCUCUAAGGGUUUUUCGGCGAUCCAGAGAAACGGUCAUUGCCGAUCAGAGUUUCUGAAACCGGCUUACUUCUGGAAAAGGAGUAAUCGGCAGAUGCCGAUGUGAAAGUGAUAUCGCUUUCCACAGAUGAGUUCACCCGAGAGCGCAGGCAAGACCUCCAGAGGGUGUUCCGCAACUUCGACCCCAAUCUUCGGACCUAAGAGAAGAAGGCGGUGGAGUACCGCGUUUUAAAUGCUUCUGAUUCAGUGAGCUUACCCUGAGCUCCGCUAUCUCCGUGCGCCACCGGUUUUAAAUACUUCCGAUUCAGAGAGCUUACCCUGCUUCGCUAUCUCCGCGCACAUGGCUGCCAUCCCGAGCUUCGCUAUCUGUGCGCGCAUACCACCAUCAUGACCUGGGAUCCCACCAUUGUGCGAGUUCUUCCCUUGGAGCCCCUAGCAACUCGUGUUGGAGGUCUCCCAUGCUGGUCAGCUUCGCUAUCUUCACGCGCAUGACCGCCAUCCUUGAGUUUCGCUAUCUCCGCAUGCAUGGCUGCCAUCAUGGCAUGGGAUGGUACCGUUGUGCGAGUUCUUCCCUUAGAGCCUCCAACAAUAACUCCGAUCUUCCACGCCAGUUGAGCUCUUACACCGCAAUGAGCUCCUCUUAGCAAUGAGCUCCUCCCUUCUGGCGUCUACUUCGUCCACAGUCUAGAUCUGGUCAUCGAUCGAUCCUUGGAUAUUGCGACGAACAACUCUAGCUUCGUCAUCCAUGUGUAAGAUCCUCCAUUGGAUCCCUUGAACUCGAUCAUCACAGGUUUUUUUCCCUUGGCAGCGCCCUUCUCGACGUCCUCCCACAAUCAACGCAGUCACCACUCAUGGCGAGAUCCUCAAUCGGAUCGUGGAUCAACCAUUGCGUUUGAUGGCGAGAUCCUCAAUCUCAGAUCAUGGAUCAGCCAUUAUGCUUGAAACAACUGUUGCUCUGAUAUCACUAGUCACGGGCUGAUCGAUCUGAGCCAAUCUUAUUCGUGCAACUCUAGGGGCUAUUGUGAACUAAUCACAGGGUGAUCGAUUUGAGCCAAUCUUAAGGAUAGAGAGAAACUCGAUCCAAUCUACUUGUGUAGCCUUAAGGAUAGAGAGAAACUUUAGAAGUUUUGGAUUGUAUUUACUUGUGAUAUGAAUGAGAUGAGUACAAUGAGAGAGGAGACCUUAUAACAAGGCAAAUCGUAUCA
Long non-coding RNA from Eucalyptus grandis, 1353 nucleotides. RefSeq lists it as uncharacterized. NCBI's taxonomy places the organism in Eukaryota, Viridiplantae, Streptophyta, Magnoliopsida, Myrtales, Myrtaceae. The transcript has 2 exons. The record is from RefSeq and is a predicted model, not a curated record.